Molecule: long non-coding RNA, 2761 nt
Organism: Homo sapiens (human)
Lineage: Eukaryota; Metazoa; Chordata; Mammalia; Primates; Hominidae
Exons: 3
Source: RefSeq, a predicted model, not a curated record
GAUUUUCAUGAAUUAUUUUAGUUGGUCAAAAUAAAAUAGCGUAUAGCUAAAGAUUAUUGAACUAGAAUAUAUAUGGCAAUUCAUUUAUCUCAACCAACUCGGUGAUUAAUUAAUGUAGGUUAAUUAAUUAACCUUGCUGUAUGGCAUCCUGUGGGGUUAAUGCUAACCAUCCAUCUAUAUACUUCUGCCAUUGCUGAGGCAAAGGAGUAAGGCAUCACUAGGAACUGGAAGAUUUACAAUCUUCCACAGUCAUACCUACAUAUGGCAUAGCAAAAAUUAUACACGUUCCUAUUUGAAUAGACCAUUAUUCCCAGCUUUAAAAUAGUAGAAAAGAGGCAGAGAGAGGCGACAAUGCUCCCUCCCUUUCCAUAGCUUUCCCAGGUCACUACUGAAAGCUUAUCAGGCCUUGGUUUAAUAAUCUCUGUUCCUUGGCAGUCUGCUACUUAGCAACUAAAUCAUUCUCCCUUUCCCCAUUUGUUCUACUCACCUUGCAACCUAAAAGAUGAAAAAUAUUUAUCCCAGAUGUGUAAAUUAAAUACGCAGGCAUUCAAAUUCAGUAGAUUUUCAUACAUUAAGGGAUGUCAGGAAUGUAGCUAAAUGCUAAUGUUAUCUAGGGUAUCUCUGAUGAAAUGGGAUUUAAGUGUGCUUGAGUAGCAAAACUUUAUCAGAUAGAAUGGGAUAUUUUUACCAAAAUAAUUUAUUUAAUGAUCUGUGCUUUCCAAAUUUAUAAGCAAGUAUUUUUCCUUAGUAAAAAGAGUGGAGGGGUUCUUAGGGCUCCUUUUUAGUGAACAACCGACCGAAAGGAUAAUUCUGUAAUAAUUUCUUUUUUUUGAGAUUGAGUUUCACCCUUGUUGACCAGGCUGGAGUGGAAUGGAUGAUCUCGGCUCACUGCAACCUCUGCCUCCCGGGUUCAGGCAACUCUCCGGCCUCAACCUCCUGAGUAGCUGGGAUUACAGAUAAGAAUUAUUGCACCAUUUUUCAGAUGAAGAAACUGGAAAUUCAGAGGUGUUAGCUUGUCCAAGUGUAUUGUGUAGAGCCUGGAGUAUUCUACCCAGCACUGGAUACCGGAGUGGAUUUUUUUUCCCCUACUUAAUGUAAGUUUAAGGCUUUGUGCUUAUUUUUUAAAAAUCAAAACCAGGUAUUUCAUUCUUUUACUAUUGAUUCUUAUAUAUAUCUGCAUAUAGUGAGUACUAUUUAUAGAAAUACAUGUGCAAUUCAGAAAUAUGUAUUUCAUUGUUAAAAUAAAGAUUAAAGCAGAAACUUAUUUAUUAGACUCUUAAUUAAUUUUAGAGAAAAAUAAUAAUGAAUAAGUUGUACUAUGGGUUUUCAAUGGGCAGUAUCUAUUUCUGGAACCACUAACCAAUGAUUGAAUAACUAAGUCAUUAAUCCUUCAAUGUGCUUAAGCUCUUAAAUAAAUGGGCACAGAGGAUAAAUAAUUUUUUAAAAAAGUGAAAAACUAGCCACCAAAGCUUAUUUUGUUGUCCCUCAAAUUUACCUAGUAAUUAGCUGGCAUUUUUCCUAUGAUAUGUUAAAGUCAAUUAAAUAGAUGCUUUAGUCAGGAUUAAUUGUAUCACAGUAAAGUUAAAAAGGAAGAAUAUGAAUGCUUAUGUUUUUGUUUACUUGAAUGUAAAAGGAGAAUCAUUUUACCCUAACUUCUAGGAUGUUUGGAUCCAUUUAUGACAGUCUGCAAGCUUAUCUUCUUAUACAUUUUUUUGCAUAUUGUAAUGUAUGAUGGGCUUAUACCAUGACAAAGAUUGAAGAUUAAUAUUGCGCAAAGAAUACUCUCUUCCUUUGACCUAUUCAAAAAUAUCAAUGAGAAGGUUUUUGGAAAUCUUUUCUUAUUCUACACAGAAGUGAAAAUAUGCUACAGGCCUUGGCUUCAAACUCUUUUAAUUUCUUAUUUAAGUCUUACUCCUUGUUUAUAAAAAGAAGAUAACUUUAAAAUAGUGCUGUAUGAACUAAAUUUAACUAGAAAUAUAAAGCACCUUCUAUAUAAUGAAUGUACUAAAAAUAUUAAUUCAGGGUCCCCCUCUACAUACAAUAUACAUAUUCAGAAGAGAUGAUUUAAUUAUGGUCAAAAGGAAAAUUUGUGUGCUCCUGAUUUUGUUUUAAUUUUACUGUAAAUGCCUUAUUUAUACAUGAAUAUCACCUAAGAUCACGUUGUUUACAUUGGUAUUACAAUUUAUCCAUUUUAUUUCAACUCAAAUUUAUCAGCGUAGACCACUUCUCUGUAGUCUAUCAGGUGCUGAGGAGAGCUGCUUUAGAGUGAAGACUUUUAGAUUAUCUGGGACUCUUUUUUUUUUCUGUUUGGUUACUGUAAGCAGAGUUGACAACUACCACAAAAGAAAGUAUUGUUCAGAAAGCCACAGCUGGGAUUGCUGAUGAUAUUAUGAGGCCUUCAGCAAGCUGGGUUGAAAAGAGGAGGGGCUGAUAGGGCUUCUAUUCCAGAUGGAUCAGAGAGGCUCCCAGUGAGGGGAAGAGUGAGAGCUCACUGACUCCUAGGUGCGGAAAGUAGGACCUUUAAACACAGACAACUAAAACACUUCACUCCUACAUACAUAACCACAAAAAAUAAUUUCAAUAAAAGUAAGUCACUUUCUCAAGGAUAUCUUAGAAAAUGUUUCUAUUUGAUCACAUACUGAUUUUUCCAGAAGUAUUUCAAAAUUUCAUUAGAUUAUUAGGUAUGAGUAAACGUACUAAUGAUUGAAAUCCUUAAGGUUAAAUUUGAGUGAUUGUAAAGGACAUGAGACGUGAGCAUCAA